GUUGGCUACCACCUCCUCCACUGCUGUUUCCACCUACACUGCCAUGGUCACCGCCUCCUCAAGCUAUGGGUCACUUAGCAUAAACUAUGUACACAAUAGCAGAGGCUUGUGAAGGCCUUUUCUCCAUGCAUCAGGAGUUGAACUCAGUUUGAACAAUGAAAGAGAAUACCCUGCAGUCCAACCCUCUCUCAAAUGGAUAAUUCUGGUGAUCCUCCCGACAGCCAUGCUUUAGAUUUUGAUUUAUGUUUUUCCAAAACUAAAAUCAAAGAUCCAUCUAGUGCUAUUUUAUGACUCAGCUGUAUUUUUUAUUUUUAUGUUAUUUUAAGUGAUUUGCCUAUCCACAUUUGUUUGCAG
This is a non-coding RNA of Pelobates cultripes (western spadefoot toad), 354 nucleotides long. NCBI's taxonomy places the organism in Eukaryota, Metazoa, Chordata, Amphibia, Anura, Pelobatidae. The record is from the annotation of a GenBank genome assembly.